RNAcentral lists this ribosomal RNA (500 nucleotides) under uncultured bacterium. RNAcentral describes it as "partial 16S ribosomal RNA". It matches the Rfam family "Bacterial small subunit ribosomal RNA", at positions 30 to 523 of the family's 1533-position model. The record is from RNAcentral.
AUUGAAUGCUGGCGGCAUGCCUUACACAUGCAAGUCGAACGGCAGCACGGGAGCAAUCCUGGUGGCGAGUGGCGAACGGGUGAGUAAUAUAUCGGAACGUGCCCAGUCGUGGGGGAUAACGCAGCGAAAGCUGUGCUAAUACCGCAUACGAUCUACGGAUGAAAGCGGGGGAUCGCAAGACCUCGCGCGAUUGGAGCGGCCGAUAUCAGAUUAGCUAGUUGGUGAGGUAAAGGCUCACCAUGGCGACGAUCUGUAGCUGGUCUGAGAGGACGACCAGCCACACUGGAACUGAGACACGGUCCAGACUCCUACGGGAGGCAGCAGUGGGGAAUUUUGGACAAUGGGCGAAAGCCUGAUCCAGCAAUGCCGCGUGCAGGAUGAAGGCCUUCGGGUUGUAAACUGCUUUUGUACGGAACGAAACGGUGAGCUCUAAUACAGUUUGCUAAUGACGGUACCGUAAGAAUAAGCACCGGCUAACUACGUGCCAGCAGCCGCCGUAA